UUUUUUCCCUUAUUAUUUCCUUGAAUUUUCUAGCAACCAAACUUACAACAAAUCAAAAUAAGUUUCCAAUGAAUUCAACUGUAUUUGCGACUAAUAUUUUCUUUUUGUUUUUAACCAUUAUUGUUCUGAAUUCUUGUAUCCAUAAUUUGUAACCCAUGACCUGGCUUCAACAAUGUGAAUUCACCUUAUUUAUUGUUUGCUUUUG
Molecule: unclassified non-coding RNA, 205 nt
Filed under: Hevea brasiliensis (rubber tree)
Lineage: Eukaryota; Viridiplantae; Streptophyta; Magnoliopsida; Malpighiales; Euphorbiaceae
Source: RNAcentral